Long non-coding RNA from Homo sapiens (human), 771 nucleotides. NCBI's taxonomy places the organism in Eukaryota, Metazoa, Chordata, Mammalia, Primates, Hominidae. The record is from Ensembl.
GGGGAUAUUGUAUGUAACUGGUGACAUUUGAAAGAGACAUAUUGGACAGAAAUGACAUACGUGAAAGCUAAGAUACAAUAUAUUUAAUUUUCUAAGAAUUCAGUUCAAGGUAGUCUGCCUGGUUUCUCAAGUUCUGCAUGUUUCUUCAGUAGACUAAAUAAUGAUAAGGAAGCUGAGAUGUAGAGCUGAAGUGUCUUGCCCAAGAUCAUUUGUCUACUGCAGCUCCUGUUCCACUUCCUUUCUUGUACUGCUGAACAUCCAGAUAGAGGCAUUGACAUGCAUGGUUUCCAACUGAUCACUUCCUACUCCCUUAAGGACCUCCUGUCAGGCAGUUUUGCUAAUUUCUUUAAUAUCAGAAGACAGCUGGAUUCUCAUUUCUGCUUCUGCAUUCAGUCUAUUGUGAUAUAGCAUAUCAUGUAACUUCUGAAAAACUUCACUGUACACAGAUGCUGACCUCACAGACUCCCUGAAAGGAUCUCCAUGACCUCUAUGGUUCCUUAGACUGCACUUUGAGAACUAUUGACGUACAGGGAAAAAUGCUCUUGGUGCCAAGAAGGGAUUCCGAAGAUAGAAGAGGAGGCAUCAACACCGUGAACAUCAUGGCUGAGUUAUUUUGUGAGAGGGAUAAGCCUAAAGUAAAAACCUUGGAUUUGCCUCUGUCCUUGAACAUGCUAUCUGGAAAGAGUUUUCUUAAAAGUAUUGUUGUGAACACAUCCAUUUUCCCAGUAUAGUUGAAUGCAGGGUUUAAUAAAUGGAAUGAAUCUAGUUUUA